Molecule: ribosomal RNA, 492 nt
Filed under: uncultured bacterium
Lineage: Bacteria
Description: partial 16S ribosomal RNA
Rfam family: Bacterial small subunit ribosomal RNA
Source: RNAcentral
AGUGAACGCUGGCGGUAUGCCUAAUACAUGCAAGUCGAACGGCAGCACAAUAAGAUCUUGCCCUUACUGUUGGCGAGGGGCGGGUGGGUGAGGCGUGCAUCGGCUUCUUCUUUUUCUUGGGUGAUAACGUAGGGAAGCUUAUGCUAAUGGCGCAUACUUCGUACGGCUGAAAGCAAAAGAGCUUCAGGCUUUUCGUGUCUGAAUUAGCCGAUGUCGGAUUAGGUAGGUGGCUGGGUAAAGGACCAACAAGGCAAAGAUGCGUAGCUGGUCUGAGAGGAUGAUCAGCCACACUGGAACUGAGACACGGUCCAGACUCCUAAGGGAGGCAGGAGUGGGGAAUAUUGGAGAAUGGGCGCAAGCCUGGUCCAGCCAUCGCGGGUGGGUGAAGAAGGCCUUCGGGUUGUAAAGCUCUUUUAUUGGGAAAGAACAUAAGUAUGUUAAUACCCGGCUGUCCUGACGGUACCCAAAGAAUAAGCACCGGCUAACUACGUG